GAUGAACGCUGGCGGCGUGCCUAAUACAUGCAAGUAGAACGCUGAAGGAAGGAGCUUGCUCUUUCCGGAUGAGUUGCGAACGGGUGAGUAACGCGUAGGUAACCUGCCUGGUAGCGGGGGAUAACUACUGGAAACGAUAGCUAAUACCGCAUAACAGUAGAUGUUGCAUGAUAUCUACUUAAAAGGUGCAAUUGCACCACUACCAGAUGGACCUGCGUUGUAUUAGCUAGUUGGUGAGGUAACGGCUCACCAAGGCGACGAUACAUAGCCGACCUGAGAGGGUGAACGGCCACACUGGGACUGAGACAAGGCCCAGACUCCUACGGGAGGCAGCAGGAGGGAAUCUUCGGAAAUGGGCGGAAGUCUGACCGAGCAACGCCGCGUGAGGGAAGAAGGUUUUCGGAUCGUAAAGCUCUGUUGUAAGAGAAGAACGAGUGUGAGAGUGGAAAGCUCACACUGUGACGGUAUCUAACCAGAAAGGGACGGCUAACUACGUG
This 497-nucleotide ribosomal RNA is filed under the name uncultured bacterium. Its description in RNAcentral is "partial 16S ribosomal RNA". It matches the Rfam family "Bacterial small subunit ribosomal RNA", at positions 28 to 507 of the family's 1533-position model. The record is from RNAcentral.